UGAAUGAGAUUUUAACACGAAGUGAGUGGCGGACGGGUGAGUAACACGUGGGUAACCUGCCCAGAAGCAGGGGAUAACACCUGGAAACAGAUGCUAAUACCGUAUAACAGAGAAAACCGCCUGGUUUUCUUUUAAAAGAUGGCUCUGCUAUCACUUCUGGAUGGACCCGCGGCGCAUUAGCUAGUUGGUGAGGUAACGGCUCACCAAGGCGAUGAUGCGUAGCCGACCUGAGAGGGUAAUCGGCCACAUUGGGACUGAGACACGGCCCAGACUCCUACGGGAGGCAGCAGUAGGGAAUCUUCCACAAUGGACGCAAGUCUGAUGGAGCAACGCCGCGUGAGUGAAGAAGGGUUUCGGCUCGUAAAGCUCUGUUGUUAAAGAAGAACGUGGGUGAGAGUAACUGUUCACCCAGUGACGGUAUUUAACCAGAAAGCCACGGCUAACUACGUGCCAGCAGCCGCGGUAAUACGUAGGUGGCAAGCGUUAUCCGGAUUUAUUGGGCGUAAAGCGAGCGCAGGCG
This 520-nucleotide ribosomal RNA is filed under the name Pediococcus acidilactici. Its description in RNAcentral is "bacterial SSU rRNA". It matches the Rfam family "Bacterial small subunit ribosomal RNA", at positions 74 to 577 of the family's 1533-position model. Lineage: Bacteria; Bacillati; Bacillota; Bacilli; Lactobacillales; Lactobacillaceae. The record is from RNAcentral.